CCUGGUGGCUCAGAGGUUAAAGUAUCUGCCUGUAAUGUGGGAGACCUAGGUUCAAUUCCUGGGUCAGGA
This 69-nucleotide transfer RNA is filed under the name Ovis aries (sheep). It matches the Rfam family "tRNA". Rfam says of the family: Transfer RNA (tRNA) molecules are approximately 80 nucleotides in length. Their secondary structure includes four short double-helical elements and three loops (D, anti-codon, and T loops). Further hydrogen bonds mediate the characteristic L-shaped molecular structure. tRNAs have two regions of fundamental functional importance: the anti-codon, which is responsible for specific mRNA codon recognition, and the 3' end, to which the tRNAs corresponding amino acid is attached (by aminoacyl-tRNA synthetases). tRNAs cope with the degeneracy of the genetic code in two manners: having more than one tRNA (with a specific anti-codon) for a particular amino acid; and 'wobble' base-pairing, i.e. permitting non-standard base-pairing at the 3rd anti-codon position. The record is from Rfam by way of RNAcentral. Lineage: Eukaryota; Metazoa; Chordata; Mammalia; Artiodactyla; Bovidae.